Molecule: ribosomal RNA, 465 nt
Filed under: Vreelandella stevensii
Lineage: Bacteria; Pseudomonadati; Pseudomonadota; Gammaproteobacteria; Oceanospirillales; Halomonadaceae
Description: partial 16S ribosomal RNA
Rfam family: Bacterial small subunit ribosomal RNA
Source: RNAcentral
CCUACGGGUGGCUGCAGUGGGGAAUAUUGGACAAUGGGCGAAAGCCUGAUCCAGCCAUGCCGCGUGUGUGAAGAAGGCCUUCGGGUUGUAAAGCACUUUCAGUGGGGAAGAAAGCCUUGGGGCUAAUACCCUCGAGGAAGGACAUCACCCACAGAAGAAGCACCGGCUAACUCCGUGCCAGCAGCCGCGGUAAUACGGAGGGUGCGAGCGUUAAUCGGAAUUACUGGGCGUAAAGCGCGCGUAGGCGGUCUGAUAAGCCGGUUGUGAAAGCCCCGGGCUCAACCUGGGAACGGCAUCCGGAACUGUCAGGCUAGAGUGCAGGAGAGGAAGGUAGAAUUCCCGGUGUAGCGGUGAAAUGCGUAGAGAUCGGGGGGAAUACCAGUGGCGAAGGCGGCCUUCUGGACUGACACUGACGCUGAGGUGCGAAAGCGUGGGUAGCAAACAGGAUUAGAUACCCUAGUAGUC